RNAcentral lists this ribosomal RNA (253 nucleotides) under uncultured bacterium. RNAcentral's name for it is "partial 16S ribosomal RNA". It matches the Rfam family "Bacterial small subunit ribosomal RNA", at positions 524 to 776 of the family's 1533-position model. The record is from RNAcentral.
UACGUAGGGGGCGAGCGUUGUUCGGAAUUACUGGGCGUAAAGGGCGCGUAGGCGGCGACCCAAGUCAGAUGUGAAAGUCCUGGGCUUAACCUGGGGACUGCAUUUGAUACUGGGUUGCUUGAAUUCGGGAGAGGAUAGCGGAAUUCCCAGUGUAGAGGUGAAAUUCGUAGAUAUUGGGAAGAACACCGGUGGCGAAGGCGGCUAUCUGGACCGACAUUGACGCUGAGGCGCGAAAGCGUGGGGAGCAAACAGG